This 432-nucleotide ribosomal RNA is filed under the name uncultured bacterium. RNAcentral's name for it is "partial 16S ribosomal RNA". It matches the Rfam family "Bacterial small subunit ribosomal RNA", at positions 29 to 506 of the family's 1533-position model. The record is from RNAcentral.
AACGAACGCUGGCGGCAUGCCUAACACAUGCAAGUCGAACGAGACCUUCGGGUCUAGUGGCGCACGGGUGCGUAACGCGUGGGAACCUGCCCUUAGGUUCGGAAUGACUCCCCGAAAGGGGUGCUAAUGCCGGAUAAUGUCUUCGGACCAAAGAUUUAUCGCCUUUGGAUGGGCCCGCGUUGGAUUAGCUAGUUGGUAGGGUAAAAGCCUACCAAGGCGACGAUCCAUAGCUGGUCUGAGAGGAUGAUCAGCCACACUGGGACUGAGACACGGCCCAGACUCCUACGGGAGGCAGCAGUGGGGAAUAUUGGACAAUGGGCGAAAGCCUGAUCCAGCAAUGCCGCGUGAGUGAUGAAGGCCUUAGGGUUGUAAAGCUCUUUUACCCGGGAUGAUAAUGACAGUACCGGGAGAAUAAGCUCCGGCUAACUCCGU